This 939-nucleotide ribosomal RNA is filed under the name Cortinarius lachanus. RNAcentral's name for it is "partial large subunit ribosomal RNA". It matches the Rfam family "Eukaryotic large subunit ribosomal RNA", at positions 39 to 962 of the family's 3401-position model. The record is from RNAcentral. Lineage: Eukaryota; Fungi; Basidiomycota; Agaricomycetes; Agaricales; Cortinariaceae.
CAUAUCAUUAAGCGGAGGAAAAGGAAACUAACAAGGGAUUCCCCUAGUAACUGCGAGUGAAGCGGGAAAAGCUCAAAUUUAAAAUCUGGCGGUCUUUGGCUGUCCGAGUUGUAAUCUAGAGAAGUGCUAUCCGCGCUGGACCGUGUACAAGUCUCCUGGAAUGGAGCGUCGUAGAGGGUGAGAAUCCCGUCUUUGACACGGACUGCCAGGGCUUUGUGAUGUGCUCUCAAAGAGUCGAGUUGUUUGGGAAUGCAGCUCAAAAUGGGUGGUAAAUUCCAUCUAAAGCUAAAUAUUGGCGAGAGACCGAUAGCGAACAAGUACCGUGAGGGAAAGAUGAAAAGAACUUUGGAAAGAGAGUUAAACAGUACGUGAAAUUGCUGAAAGGGAAACGCUUGAAGUCAGUCGCGUUGUCCAGGGAUCAUCCUUGCUUUUGCUUGGUGCACUUUCUGGUUGACGGGUCAGCAUCAAUUUUGACCAUUGGAAAAAGAUUAGGGGAAUGUGGCAUCUUUGGAUGUGUUAUAGCCCUUGGUUGCAUACAAUGGUUGGGAUUGAGGAACUCAGCACGCCGCAAGGCCGGGUUUUUAACCACGUACGUGCUUAGGAUGCUGGCAUAAUGGCUUUAAUCGACCCGUCUUGAAACACGGACCAAGGAGUCUAACAUGCCUGCGAGUGUUUGGGUGGAAAACCCGAGCGCGUAAUGAAAGUGAAAGUUGAGAUCCCUGUCGUNGGGAGCAUCGACGCCCGGACCAGACCUUUUGUGACGGUUCCGCGGUAGAGCAUGUAUGUUGGGACCCGAAAGAUGGUGAACUAUGCCUGAAUAGGGUGAAGCCAGAGGAAACUCUGGUGGAGGCUCGUAGCGAUUCUGACGUGCAAAUCGAUCGUCAAAUUUGGGUAUAGGGGCGAAAGACUAAUCGAACCAUCUAGUAGCUGGUUCCUGCC